ACCAAAUUUCUGCCUUUUGGCUAAGAUCAAAUGUAGUAUCUGUUCUUUUUAAUUAGAUUUUUAGUCAUUGAGCCGAUAAUACCCUGAGAUCUUCAGGGUUAUUUUCUCAGACUUUAAAAAGCUCCCUCUUGAGCUACAGAAGACAUUAUACAGCUGUUUUCACAGGUUGAGUAGUACUCCAC
Molecule: small nuclear RNA, 182 nt
Organism: Thunnus maccoyii (southern bluefin tuna)
Lineage: Eukaryota; Metazoa; Chordata; Actinopteri; Scombriformes; Scombridae
Product: U2 spliceosomal RNA
Exons: 1
Source: RefSeq, a predicted model, not a curated record